Molecule: RNA transcript, 11179 nt
Organism: Macrosteles quadrilineatus (aster leafhopper)
Lineage: Eukaryota; Metazoa; Arthropoda; Insecta; Hemiptera; Cicadellidae
Gene name: D-2-hydroxyglutarate dehydrogenase, mitochondrial-like
Exons: 11
Source: RefSeq, a predicted model, not a curated record
AUCUAGUGCGGCCUUGUGCAAAUGGUAUCAGUCAACUACACUUCCCAUCGGCGAGUCAGUGAGCGUUUGGUUUCCUAGCAAAAGUAUCGCAACCUGCAAAAUAGACAAGAAUGUCUUACUUCAGAACUUCAGUAAACCUUGUACAGAUACGACAUGGUUUGCAUUUCUCGGCAAAACAUUUUAAACAACCUGAAGUCAAACUCACAAAGGAUGUGUACAAGGUCAAACGUGGAAACUAUUCCGUUCUUGAUGAUUCCCACAUUAAAAAGUUUGAAAACAUAUUAAGUGAAGAUAGAGUAUUGACGGAUGCUGAAGAACUGGAUUCCUACAAUACUGACUGGAUUAAAAUGGUCCGAGGUUAUAGCGGUGUAGUCUUGAGACCGAAGAGUACAGAAGAAGUGUCGGCUAUUCUAAGAGUCUGCAAUGAGAACAAUCUAGCGGUGUGCCCUCAGGGCGGAAACACAGGGCUGGUGGGUGGUAGUGUUCCUGUUUUUGAUGAAGUCAUUAUCUCAACGUCGUUAAUGAAUAAAAUCAUCAAAAUAAAUGAUAUACCAGGAAGCAUAGUAUGCCAGGCAGGCUGUGUGUUGGAGACAUUAGACAAUGCCUUGGCAGAACACGGACUGAUGAUGCCUCUAGACCUCGGGGCCAAGGGCAGCUGUCACAUCGGAGGCAACAUCGCCACCAAUGCAGGAGGUCUGAGAUUGCUGCGCUACGGCAGCCUGCAAGCUAAUACACUCGGCCUUGUUGCGGUUAAGGCUGAUGGGCAAGUGAUAGACUGUAUGAACACCCUCAAGAAGGACAACACAGGAUACCAUCUGAAACACCUGUUCAUCGGCUCUGAAGGAACUCUUGGAUUAGUCACUGAGGUUGCAAUCCAGUGUCCUCCGAAACCUCAGUCUGUCAGUUUAGCACUACUAGGUGUUGUUGACUUUGACCACGCAUUGAAAACUUUCCGCUUGGCUCGCUCUAUGCUUUCUGAGAUCCUUUCUUCCUGUGAACUUAUAGAUGAGAACUGCAUGCAACCUGUAGUCAACACACUUGGUGUUCGUAACCCAUUGAGCGAACAUCCGUUUUAUGUGCUAAUAGAGGUGUCAGGGUCCAACGCAGCCCAUGAUGAAGAGAAGCUGAAUGCCUUCCUGGAGAGUGCGAUGGAAGAUGAGAUCGUUGCUGAUGGAACUGUGACCAAUGAACCUUCGCGAAUGCAGACUAUCUGGCAGUUGAGGGAGAGGAUUGCCGAAGCCCUGCUGAGGAAUGGAUUCGUUUACAAGUACGAUGUUUCACUGCCACAUAACAGCUUCUAUCAACUGAUACCUGUCCUGCAAGACAAACUAAAAGGAACCGAUGCUAAAAUUGUCUCAGGCUAUGGACAUUUAGGUGAUGGGAACCUGCACCUGAACAUCUGUGCGCCUCAGUUCAGCCCAGAGCUGCUGGCCAAGAUAGAACCGUUUGUCUAUGAGUGGAUAAGUGAGCGAGGAGGCAGCAUCAGUGCUGAACACGGCAUCGGCUUCAAGAAGACCAAGUUCUUACGAUACUCCAAGUCUGACGCAGCCAUCCACACCAUGAGACAGAUCAAACAGCUCAUGGAUCCCAAGGGCAUUCUCAACCCCUACAAAGUUCUGCCUAUGGAAUAGUUUCUGUAUCACUCAAAAAUUGGCUGAUACAACUUACCAUUUUGUCAUCUGAUAUGAAACUAAGACUAUCUGGCAGUUGAGGGAGAGGAUUGCCGAAGCCCUGCAGAGGAAUGGAUUCGUUUACAAGUACGAUGUUUCACUGCCACAUAACAGCUUCUAUCAACUGAUACCUGUCCUGCAAGACAAACUAAAAGGAACCGAUGCUAAAAUUGUCUCAGGCUAUGGACAUUUAGGUGAUGGGAACCUGCACCUGAACAUCUGUGCGCCUCAGUUCAGCCCAGAGCUGCUGGCCAAGAUAGAACCGUUUGUCUAUGAGUGGAUAAGUGAGCGAGGAGGCAGCAUCAGUGCUGAACACGGCAUCGGCUUCAAGAAGACCAAGUUCUUACGAUACUCCAAGUCUGACGCAGCCAUCCACACCAUGAGACAGAUCAAACAGCUCAUGGAUCCCAAGGGCAUUCUCAACCCCUACAAAGUUCUGCCUAUGGAAUAGUUUCUGUAUCACUCAAAAAUUGGCUGAUACAACUUACCAUUUUGUCAUCUGAUAUGAAACUAAGGUAUAAAUUACAGAUAGGUUGUGCAAUGAGGUUAAACUAUUAAAGAAGACCUCAGUUUACCUGAUGUUGGUAGAGGAAAGGAAUCACUUUAUUAGUUGAUAAAAACCGUCGAUUACCACAGAACAGCUAGACGUUGGCUGUUGACGGCCUUUUUCUACUUUUUCGUAACCGCUGUCCAAUCUGAGGUGUGUGUGUGUUUGAUGUCGGCUGCUUGAUCCUCAGGCCGUGAAGAAGGAAGUCGGCCAUUCCUGACUGUGACUUUGUGCUAGUCUGAGUUCGCCCCGUCUUCGUGCCUUAUUCGCUGUUUACGCUCGUUUCGACUUGAACAGUUUCACGUGUUCGAGUAUCGGUAUAUGAAUAAAGUAGCUAUGAACAAAUAAAAUUGUAAAAUUACUUUUGAGACACAUGGUAUAUAUACUGUAUAUAGAAUCGUUUAUAUUAAACACUUCAUAUCUCAUCUGAGAGCACAACAAGGUGGCGUAGGGAUUAGAAGAGGUCACUGCGCGGAGUUGGGCUGAUGCCCAGUUGCACCGGUGGUCAAUGGAAUUUGCAAGGGUCGACAAAGUCCUCCCUCCUAAGAGUGCCCAGUUGCACCGGUGGUCAACAAUCUGGCAUGCUUGGAUGCUCCUUCCCCUCCUCGAACGCUUUUAUAUACCUAUCUCCUCUUUUACGUUUCAUCGUAUAUAGUCUGCGCUUAAUAUUUACUAUUUAUAGGGAACUAGCACCUAACUUAACCUAACCUAACCUAACCUAACUUAACCUAACUUAACAUAACCUAACCUAACUUAACUUAACCUAACCUAACCCCCGGUGCAACUGGGCAUCACCCUAAAAUGACCAUCGGUGCAACUGGGCAUUCGAGAUUAGGGCCACCCCUGACCAUCGGUACAACUGGGCAACUGCCCGGAGUUGGGCUAUCCCCGAGUAGACAUCACCAUUGAAAUAUCGUUACGGAAAUAUCGUCACCGGUUUCGUGAUCGUGGCAAAAUCUUGCACAUCUUCCCCAGUCUUGUAGACGUAGUCAUCUUCUCCCGCAGUAACGGAAACAUCGUUAUCGUUUUCCGUGAUCGAAGUCAAACCUAGAGUAUCUCCCGCAGUCUUGUAUCUUCUGCGACCACAAUAGUAAAAGCUCAGCUUGACUUUGCCCAUAGUCUGAAAAAUACUAAAUUUUUUAUCAUCCGAAUGUGGUGGUAUGGUCCUAAUUGGUUUGGAUAAUUGGAGUUCUACUGUUAGUACAGCUAGACGUUGGCUGUUGACGGCCUUUUACUACUUUUUCGUAACCGCUGUCCAAUCUGAGGUGUGUGUGUGUUUGAUGUCCACACAAAAACAUUAAUUAAUUAAUAAACUUAAUUAGUAUUAAGUUUAUGGGCUUGUUAAUAGACGUCAUGUUCAAUUCAAUUUGGCGAAUUCUAUUGUAUACUUUUUGUUUACAUUGAAAUUUGAUCAGAAACAAAUUUAUUGUGGUCUUUGUAGUUGUAACUCUCAACAGUUGUUGUUUGAAUGCUUUUUAGUCUAUAUUAGGCAAGUAUCUAAGUGUAAAAUAUUUCUUACUAUUCUUGUUUUAUAUUUUAAAGUAUCUUAAAAUAUUCUUUGUUUGAAGUUUUUCUGUGACAAAGGUAUUUUAAAUACCCCCUCCGCAGCAAACCUGCAGACUAAGCGAAUUUCAACUCGUCUUAUUACAUUUUUGCUCAAAUAUUUCCAUAAAUAAGACAUAUUUUUAUUCCCUAUUUAAAUAACAUUAGAUUUAACGAGUGCUUAGGUUUGCUGCUACGGGGAAGGUAAAAAGUGUUUUUUGACUAUACGUCAAAGUAUAGGAUGAAAUAAAUAAAUUUGCCAAAUUUUAUCAAUAUAUAUCCAUAAACAAGUAAACUACAACAAUUUUCAUUUUCUCCAUAAAAAUAACAUGGGAAUUUUAAAUUACACAAUUUUUUAAUUUUCUCCGUGACCGUUAGGCAUACAACAGCGCUUCAAUAUACUAAAUUAUUUCUUUUUUUAAGCUCUACAAAACGGUCUAAAAAGAAAUUGCAAAAUUUUUUAUUUUUAGGGUCAAAAAUGGGAAAACCCCAUUUUUACCCCAUAAAACCCCCCAUAAACCCCCGUUCCCAUAGUCCGAUCAUGCUGGUUCGCGAACUCGUUCGAAUAAACGUAGGUUUACACGUUUAUACCAAAUUUCAUCGAAAUCGGAUCAUUUUUGCUCGAGUUAUCGCGCUAACGGACACAUAUAUAAAUAUAUAUAUAUAAAUCUAUACUAAUAUAUAAAAAUCUAAUGGUGUCUGUCUGUAUGUGUAUUACUAAUAGGUGCAAAAACUACUCAACCAACUGGGCUUAAAUUUUACAAAAAUAUAGCUACCAUACCAAGGACCAUUAUAGGACUAUUCACACUUCGAUACUGACCGUGGGCUUUGCCCCUUUGGCUUUAAAAGUUCUGAGGUGAGGAUUUUAAAAGUAAAUAUUGAUUGGUCUCCAUGGCUACAAUAAGAAUACUCACAAUGUUUACAUUUGCUUUGACAUUUCAAUGUAAACAAGAAAAACUGCCAAAUCGCAUAUUUCACACAAUUGUGUGGUUGGUUUAUUUAAUAAAAAAAUUUAUCAAAGAUCAUUUAUUCAAAAACAUUAAUGAUUAUAGAAAUAAAAAAAUAAUUACAAUGUAUUGAUGUUUAGUAUGAAUUUUGAGGCUACUGUAAAUAAAUUCGAACUGCUUAACAUGUGUUAGAUUAACUUAACAUAACUUGCACAUCACAUUGUUUUUUUAUGUAUAUUUAGGUAAAUUUAGUUGUGUGUUUUGCUAAACCUCCUAUGCUUAAAUUAAACUAAAGAAUAUCGUCAAUACUGUAACUAAAUUGUACGUCAUUGAUUUUUGUGUUCUAAAAUCUGUUGUAUAUGUGAAACUAUAUUUAAUUAUCAAAUGGUAAUACAAAAUACUCCUAUUUUAUCUUACUGUAACAUAACUUUCAGUUCACAUUUACUUUAUUAGAUAAAUUCAUUAUUUGUGUUUUGCCACAACACUGAUUAAAUUAAACCAAGGAAAAUAUCAUUAAACUAAGCAGUACACAGUGUUCUUUUAUUUCAAAAAUCAAUGAAAUAUGUUACUAUGUUUACUUAAUGGUAAGAGUGAAAAUGUAUAGGCAAUGGACGAUGGAACUGAUUAAAAGAACUGGUUUGUAUAUUAAGUUGUUUGUUGAUAUUUUUGUAGAGUAGAAUCAGAUAUGCAAUGAAACAUAACUAUACUGUAUUUGCUAUUACAUUUUUUAGUCCUUGAUGCUUUGAUAAUCAUAUUAGUUUUGCCUGCUGUCUUUAAUGCUAAAUGAUUUGUUUAACAUUAUUUUUGUAUAGAUAUAGUUUAUUUAAUAUUUAAAAGAUAAGGCACAAUAGUUAUUUGCGUAACUAGUGGGCAAAGUGGCACUUUGCUGCACACUAGAGCAAUGUUUACGCACUCGCCUGCGGCGAGUGCGGAAUGAUCUCGAGUGCAGCAAAGGCCUUUUGCACUCGUGUUACACAUUAUAUUUUUCCUACAAUCACUAAAAAGCAUAUAAAUAAUUAGUCUUUCAAACACUAUACAACAAGUUUUUAGGUUCAACUGGCAACACAAAUAGGUGCCCUAGAGAAAGUAGUACCCGGUCCGUAUCACUCCGCUAUUUUUUCCUCGGCAAGAAAUGUGCUCCGCGACUAGAGAAAAUAUUUCCGUAUGUUUUGUAAUUUGAAGUGGUUUCCGCGCCUAAAAAAAUGCUUUAAAGGUAUUUUCUUGUUUAUUAAGAUCGUUGGAAUGUUUUAAAAACGUUUAAAAGAAAAGUCCAGAAAGUUCAGAAAUACCGAAACUAUAAACACGAAAUGACAGGUUAAAUCGUAGUAAUAAUAGUCAAUCAGCUGCUCAUAGUAUUAUUAUCUUUAAGUGUUGCCAACCUAUUUCUAAACAUACACGGAUUACGUGCAUAAUAGAACCACGCUGUUUUGUGUUGUUUCGUUGGAAUCCUGAUGUGCGCCAAAGUAUAAACCGUACGACAAAGUAUAAACCGUACACGACAAAGUAUAAAUAUGCAGCUUUCUGUACUAUAAACAGUACAAGGAAGCCAACUUUGUCGGGUGACUUUAGGAAAAAUAUUUCUAAAGUUUAUAACAGCUGACUUAGUUUUGCUAAUGAUUUAUUGCGAGUGACGAAACUGAAGAUGGAAGGAUUUGUGAUUUAAAAUGAAGAAGAGUGAAAUUGAAAAAAUGUUAAUUUAAAUUUAAUCUAUAUAAAUAAAAUUAGAGUUUUGUCUGUACAUUGCUCAGAAUUAUAUACUUUUAGGUUAUUUUUACGUUUUAUACAUUAAAGAAGCAGAAACGAGUCUUAUCUCAAUUUCUGUCUGUCUGUCUGUCUAUCUGUCCCUUUGUCUGUAACACUCAAGAUGGGAUUUUACGCAAUCUUCUCCGUGAAAGCCAGAGUACAUAUCAAGAUCCAAGUCAUUUUAAUGUAUUCACUGGAUUGGCGAGAGUGUCUUUAGUGAUUUAAAUAUAGCCUCACUACUUUGUAAAUAAAAUUACGGACGUUCAAAAAUGCAGUUUUGUGCGAUUUUUGUCAAAUUUUCGUUCAAUUUUUAUCACAUAAUCGUCUAUGAAAUAACGAACAGCUGUUCGGAUCAAGAUUAUUUUUUCUAGCUGUCAAUGACAUGUUUACAAAUGUUGUUUACAAAUACCGCAACUAUUUGGAAUCACGUUUUGAAAGCAAAUCCCAACCAAGUGAGAUUAAAAACGUUUUUCUUACAUAACGGAUUUAAUUAAUCGCAAGUGCAAUAAUAUAGUCUAAUAGUGUAACCGUAAAUGAAAUUAAAUAACUAGACAUCGUCCAAAUCGGAACCAGAAAUUCUUUGAGUAUAAAAUGUUUCUUGAGUUUUGACAACCAGAAAGAAGAAGACCUUGAAUCAGUGUUGUAAUAGGGCUGUGACACUGAAAUGAUCGUCGCCAAUACCUUACAAAAAAGGUUUCCACUCAUUGACGGAGCUUCAAUGGCGGUUGUGUAAAGUGUAAAGUAAAAAAUCACAACUGCAGUGGGUGAUUGUAACAGAGGUUUAACAGAGGAAGUGCUAAACUCGCUUUUCCAAUUUGUCACUUUCUGUUUCUACUCACCGUGUGAUGCAAUCGCUGGACCAUACAGCCAAUAGGCCCAUAGCUCAUAUCUUGGGUACGUAAGCCUACAUAUUUAUUCAUAACAACCUUUUUGACGACGAUCCUUGAUACCGGUACUUUUCCAUAGAAUACAUGGCCUACCUACUUAAAAAAUAAAAUUACAAAUGACCAAAACCCCAACAUUGUGUGAUUUUCGUCACAUUUCCUUCUAAUGUUAAUAGAUAUACUAAUCAUUGUUUAGAGAAUGCGUAAUCUAUUAAAUAACAAAAAGUUGUUUGGGUAAGGUUGCUUUUUUUUCAAACUGACACCGAUAAGUUUACGCUAUAACUUUUUACGAGAAAAUCCAAAAGCAAGAGAUCAAUAACCUCGGGACUAGAUAUUAAUGUAUUUAAUUGGUCCGAUUUACUAUAGUUCUUAGGUAGGUUCUUACGCGUAGGUACUGGUUCUUUUCCUUAGAACCGGUAGUUUAGAAAUUUGAUAUCGUUGGUGUUGCACCUUAUUUAUUAGAGCCGUCCGUAUUCAAUUUAAGUGAUGUCUUAACUCUGUAUAAGUUUUGCUUUUUCUGUCUGGAUUCCAAAUCUUAGCUUACCCGGUAUGCUAAGAAAAUGAUAACCUAUUUGAGUAAAACACAUUUGUUGGGCAAACCAUCAUGAAUUGUUUACGCCUUUAUAUUGUUUAUGUAUCAAUAGUUCGUGGCCUUUGUUGGAUUGUUGUAUUGUGUUGUUUUGUUGUAUGUUGGUAACGCAUUAAUGUCCUUAUUUCUCAGUGUUUCACGGAAUGGACAAGAGCACCUUUGAUACUGAAAAUGUCAACCGGAAUAAAGUGUUAAAUGGUGAGGUUGAGGUAGUACUUUAAAUACGUUUAAGUUAACCGAUGUGGAAAGUAACUUUCAAUUAUAGGCCUACUUUAGGGCUACGCUUCAUGGAUCUAUAAAACAUUUUUUAGUUUAAUCAUUGGACAUAUGGACCAACACGAUCCGGGUGACAUUUAAUUGCGAAGCAUUUAUUUUGGCUUGAACUGUCAGAUACUGUAUUUGCGAAGGUUUAUAAUAGUUUUGCCAGCAUAUCUGCAAAUAUGCAAACUAAUUGCUGUUCUUAAUCUUAAUAUAAGAAGGUUUCAACUGACUACUAUAAGAUCCCCGUGCGUAGAACGGGCACACAGCUAGUAUAUAUAUAUAUAAAUAUAUAUAUAUAUAUAUAUGAAUUUGAACGAUUAGUGUUUUUGGCCUCUGGGGACAUCAAAAUGAAAAAGUAAAUCGGUCCCGCGCCCAGGUCUUACCAUGAGACCUACGGUAAUAGCUACUUCCCUAUAGGGAAAUUCGCUAAAACAAGUAGUAUGAAAUCUAUCGUGGAGUUUUUUAAUCUAUACAACUUUUUCAGAUUGUUUUAUCAAGUUUUUAAUUCAGGCAAAGACUUGGAAAACGUCAGAUAAGUAGGUAACAUAAUAUGCAUAAAUGUUUACUGAGGGUGGUCAUUUGAACGUUAAACUAUUUCUUAACAAAUAAACAGAAUCAGCAAUCUGACACAUACUUUCUCCCAUUAGCUUGUCAACAACCUUUAUCAUGGGUAAGCGAUGAGAGUAACUAUGAUAUUUAAUAGGUAAAAUCACAAAAGUUGUAUUAAAUUUUGAACCGUAAUUUUAACAGGAAUGGAUGGGGGGGAGUUUGCACUAUUUGGUUUAGAAUUAUAAGGACCAUUACAGAAAAUUUCAAUCAGAAUUGGUAAAAAAAAAACCUUUAUCUCCGUUUUUUUCAAUGGGAUUUAUGGGAAAAUAACGUAAGUUACAAUAACUUUUGAACAGUUUUUUAAAGGAAUGGGGGGUUGCACUAUGUUGUUAAGAAUUAUAAGGAUUAGGCCUAUCACAUACUAGUUUCAAUCGAAACCGGUUUUUUUUAGAAAAUAAGAAUAUCUCUUAUUUUAUGGUUUUUUUACGGAAAAUACCAUAAUUUACAAUAACUUAUGAACUGUAAUUUUUACAGAAAUGGGAGUUAUACCAUUUCGUUCAGAAUUUAAAGGGCUACAACACAAUAAAUUCUUAUCAAAAUCGUUCAGGGCAUUUUCGAGAAAAUCCAAUUUUCCUGUUAUUUAUGGGUUUUUAUGGGAAAAUCAACAUUAAAAAUCAAAAUAAAAAAAUGAAAAAAAAACGCCUGCAUAUACCAUGGAUUAGUACCUACAUACCAAAUUUCAUCAAAAUCGGACUACAGGUGUGGUCUAAAAGGUCUAGCUCUGUACACAUCCACACUUAAAAAAAACUCAAAGCUUGUUGCUUAGUUUGGCUCAUGUUGAAGAUUAUCAAACUGUUAAAUUACUGGCAUUUUUUUAUUGACAACAAAUUGAAUUGGAAGUCUCAUGUUGAGUAUGUGAACAGAAAAAUUUCAAGAGUUUCUUAUCUCAUGUGGAAGCUUAGGGAUUUUGUGAGUUUUGAAUAUCUAAGGGUGGCUUACUAUGCUUUUUGUCAGUCCCAUCUUUCGUAUGGCAUUACUCUUUGGGGUCAUUCAGGUUUUGUGUAUGACAUACUUACAACACAGAAAAAUAUAAUUAGAACAAUCUUUAGGACAAGUGACACUGAACAUUGCAAACCACUUUUUAUAAAACUCAAAGUAACGACUGUUAUUAAUCUUUACAUUUACCACAUUCUCAUUUAUACCAAACUACAUAUUACAGAUUUCAAUAAUAGAAAAACAUUCCAUAGCCACAACACAAGAGGAAAAAACAAAUUUGACCUUCCCCAGCACCGCUUAGGCCGGUUUUAUGCACCGCGACAGUCGCGUGUCGCGUGUCGCGGCGCGACUCAAGUUCUAUUGAGUUAAAUGGGAGCAUUUAUGCACCGCGACAGCGACAAACUGCCGCGCGAGCGACUCGGAGAUCUCUAAAUACCCGCGACAGGUUUUAGAAUCGCAGCUUCAAAAAAUGUGUCGCGCGCGGUUCAAGUUCUAUUGGAUCAAAUGGGCACGUUUAUGCACCGCGACAGUCGCGGCGCAACAGUAGUAUUUUUCAUACUCCACGUGGUAUAUUCUCCAUAUAUUUAUAUUGAUUAAUGUUAAUAAUUAGUAUAUAAAUGAGUUCUUUACCCUUUAUUUGUAAUAUAAAUUACAUCAUUAUAUUAUGUAAUGACAUUUUUAAGAGGGUUGACCCAAUUCCAACUGUAAAUUGUAUGUGUUGUUUAAAUAACUGGGGUUUUGUCGUUAACGUGUACAACACUACAGGGUCUAUUUAAACAACUUAAUAAUCACUUCUACAUCACAAACACAACACACAACAUUGGAUUGAGAACAGACUGAUUUCUUUAAUUCCCCCAACACCGGAUGUGAGUUUACGCGACAAAAAAGUGUCGCUGUCGCGUGACAUUUUGGUCACCCGCAAGACGUGGCGCGACUCGCGACUCGCGACUGUCGCGGUGCAUAAAACCAGCCUUAGCAAAAACGGGAAACUGCUUUAAAAUUAACUACGUGAGAUUUUUCAAUAAACUGCCUGACACUGCCCGAUUUGUGACUAUGAAACAAUUUAAAAUUAAAAUAUCUGAGUGGUUUAUUGCCAAUCCUUUUUAUAAAAUAGAAGAUUUUUUAUAAUGUCCUGUUACUAUUCACUUUAAGAUUUAAUUUAUGUUUUACAAGUGCAUUUAUGUCUUUAAUUAUAUUUUGUACGCUUACAGUAUUUUCAAAACCGCUACAUGUGUACUCAAAUAAACUUUUUGUUAAACGGAAAUUAGAAUGUAAGAGCACAAUCAGUGUUUUAGAGGCACAGAACAAUAUAGAUGUGUUAUAGUUGUUAGACUUGAAAUAUAGCCUAAAAUAGAUUUUAUUAAGAUGUAUAUUUAACUAUUUACUGUAAUAGAUGCCUAUGUACAGAGUUGUUAUUGUAUAUGUACUUGUUUACUAAAUUCUAUAAAGAC